Molecule: long non-coding RNA, 2177 nt
Organism: Lytechinus pictus (painted urchin)
Lineage: Eukaryota; Metazoa; Echinodermata; Echinoidea; Temnopleuroida; Toxopneustidae
Exons: 5
Source: RefSeq, a predicted model, not a curated record
GCACGCUUCCGUGAAAUGGAAGCAUGUUUUCAUGUGACACAUUAUAAACAGAGUAAAAAACACCUAAUAUCUUAGAAAUUGGUAUCAAUAGAAAGUAUCUAGAGUAAAUUCCAGUUAUUUUGAUAUGUAAUUUUAUGAUUUUUAUUAAGUAUUUGUUUAUCUUUUAUGUUAACUAAAAACCAGUAAAAUUUUGGAUCAAAAUGACGUAAUAAUGUACACAAAACGCAUACAGAUAGGCAGGUCCAGUAUAAAUGCAAUUUAGUAUUUAUGUUGAGUGUGUUACCAUAGCAACGAUUAUUGACAUAAUAAAAACAAGAAUUCCAAUGAUAAGAGUAAUUCGUAUUAUUACUUAUUUGUUGAUUUACAGGAUGUCUAAUUAAAAAGGAACAAAAAAAAAGCAACUGGCCGACCCCGCCCGCCGCCCCUAAAAUAUGAUUUUUCCAAUUUUGGGGCCCUUUUUUUGCGUGCCGAUAUUAUCUUCAUAACUCCAGUUAGGAUCAAUGGUAUUUUGUGAUUUUGGUGUCUACAUAAAGCUGAUAAUAAGGCCGAUCUUAUUAGUAGAAUCACAAAUUUACAUCUUUAUCACUAAAUUGCAUAUUCUUUUAAAAAUACAAAAAAUUUAAACAUUAUUAUCUGUUUAUUUGGUUACCAUAGCAACACACUGAAUGAGUUUUCCUUCCAAGAAGAUUCUGCUAGGAUCGAAGGCUCAGGCCCCUUUUUGACUCAGGUUAUUUAUUUAUUUUUACGAAGAAUGCAUGAUUUUGCCUUUUGAAGUACUGGAUCUCAUGAUAUCAUGUGACUACUUAUGUUUUAUACUUUCGUCAUGACAGGAGCAUUUCUUCUCAGAAAAUGAAGGAUUCAUUGAGUACAGUUUCAAGAAUAUAUGAGGCCGAAUGGCAAACAGGGUAAGAAGAGGAAGCAUGCCAAAUCAUAUGAUCACAAACAAGAAGAUGUGAUAGUGGAUGAGGAAUUACUUCAAGGUGAAGAAUUACAAGAAAAGGUUAACUGAAAGAAGCACACAGUUCCCACUGCAGCAAAUAAGGGGAAAAUUAUCAAAUUUUUCAAAGACACUGCUGCUUAUCGUCAAAUGAUGCUAAAGAAGAGGACAGACAUGACCAUUACAGACUUCAUCACCACCUUUCCAAGGAUACAAGAGAUGCCAGAACUUAUCAACAUGGACUUUGAAGCAGAACAUGGGCACCUUUCUGACAAUUUUAUUUCAAAGUGGGAGUCGUUCUACCGAGACCGUAUCAUAAAAUUAGGUUUGAGCGGGUAUCCAGCGGUAAAAGAAUCAAUUCAACAGUUUUGAGGAAGGUGACAACAGAGACCUGUGUGGUUUAACUGCACUGUUGCUGAUGUUACAUAAGCCACUGACAAAGACCAAGAACCCCACCUCGAGUUCAAGAGCAUCGAGUUUGGAGCACUUCAUCCAGUACAGACCUAUUGGGACAGAUGUUCAAGCGGCAGCAGCUGGGAAGUCUGCUGAGUUUCGGCAGCCCUAUAUUCUAGCCAUUGGACACAGACGCAAGCCACUACAAUCUUGCGGAUCGAACUACUUCUUCAGUUUUCAACCAAUAUUCAUGAAAUUUGGCACAUACAUUGGUCUGUUGUGAGGAUGUGCAGACACAUUUUUCACAAAAGUAACUAGAAAACAAGGUGAUAUCUAGUUUGAUAUUACAUUGCUGAGAGUGAUUUAUUAUUCGUGAGUCAUAAGCUAAAGAAUCAAGCAUAAUUUACAGGGUCUUGCAUUAAGACAUAGAGACAAAUUUAACCCUAAAUAGACUGGGGAGGGGGAGGGUGAAAGGCCCCCCCUUGAAUUUUUUUUUUGGCCAUAAAUCUGUCGAUAAAUCUCAUGCAACUUUUGAGACCAAAUUUGGGACGCCUGGGUAUGCAGUCCGAAAUUAUGCAUAAUUAUGUAAGUGCAUGUCAGUCCCAAAAUUGCUCAAAAUGCAAAUUCUGUUUGUAGCCAAAAUUCAUACCGUUCUCUUUACUUUUACUGAUUAAAAUCAAUUAAUUUCAUGUUGUUUAUUAAGAUCAUAAAAUUAUUGUCGACGAUUUCCAUCCAAAAAAAGUCGAAAACAAAGAAAUACAUAUGAAAUUUCAAAAACAAUUAAAUACUUAAAACACUUUGAUACUGAUUAUUUUUUGAUGUGCAUUUGGUCAGAAUCUCACAGGGA